This 86-nucleotide transfer RNA is filed under the name Paractinoplanes brasiliensis. RNAcentral's name for it is "Actinoplanes brasiliensis tRNA-Pro". The record is from RNAcentral. Lineage: Bacteria; Bacillati; Actinomycetota; Actinomycetes; Micromonosporales; Micromonosporaceae.
UCGGUCAUCGGGGGGCGCUCCUUCGCCUCAAGGUGCUCCAGGACAGCGCUGUCCCGACUGCGCCGAUCGUAUCGGCGUGACCGGCC